AAGCCAAUUUUCCUUCUGUGUGUUUUGUCUCAGAUGGUCUGUGUCUCUCCACACCAUUCCAGGGGCUGCUCUUUGCAGAGCAGAAAAUUGGAAUUCUCGGUGAACAUCUGCAUUUUCCAGCUGGGGAAGCAAGGAAUGUCCAACAGAACAGAGCUGAGCUGGUGUGAGAAGCAGUGAAAAAUUCCAUCAGUGAGUGCCUUUGUACCAGGCUGAGCAGCUGCUGGAACAGAAUCCCUGAGAGCUCUGCAGUGGCUGGACACAGCUCCCCACCAGCUUUAAGGCAACAUCAGAUUUCAAUCAGCAGGACGUCGAAGGAAAGGGUAGGAGAAAAAAAGAAGAAGAAGAAAAUUCAGUCUCUGGAGAGCAGAGUGAGGUGCUGAACGUGUCACGGGACUGGAGCAAAGGUUAGAACUGCAGUGUAAAAUAUUGUACAAAUCUCAGCCCCAGUUUCAGUCCCACAUCAGAGGAAGAGGAGGCUGCUGUCACUGAAAUGGUGGCAGUGCCACAGAGUGGAGUGGGGACCUCUCCUAUUCCUGGCUGGAGCCACCAGGGAGACCUGGCAGGAGCUGUGGGAGCCAUGCUCUGUGGGCUCUCUGCUGAAUUGGCACACCCUUCCUAAUGCAACACUUCAUUCCUUGUAGAAAAGACACAGAAUAAAAGAUCUAUCAAAACGCAUUUCUCUUAACUUUAAAGGUAUUUCAUAUUGGCACUUUCUGGUUUGUCUUGAUGUAUCAGACCAUCCAUCAGAUCUUGCAAUGUCUCCCUUUCCAGCUGUCCUGCCUUUGAAGCUGAUUGUCUGAAGAGAUGGAAUUUAAAACUUCUCUUGACCUCUUCGUGAAGGCAACAAAGACCAGUGAUGGGUUUGUCUGCAGUGAAACCUGCUGAUGAAUUCUUUCUGGCAUCUCCACAGAAGCAGAGCCUGCCCUAUACAUUGCAGUUUGAGCCAGUUCUGCAGCACACAAAGAUGGGAAGAAAGGUGAGGACAGGAGAGCUUUGCUCAGGAAGUUCUGUCCAAGAUGUGGCACCCAGUCUUGGAGGCGUCCAAGAUGCAUCACCCAACCUUCAUUCAAGCAAACCCCCAGAGCUGCAGAGGGAGGAGGAAUUGGCAGCUGGAAAAGCUGCCUGGAGGUCAGCAGCAAGGACUGGUAAUUUUUUGCCCUCUCAUCCACUGCUGGGACCUGUGCAGGAGGUUUUGCAUGAGGAAAGUUCCCUCCCCUGGAGGAGAUGGAAG
Molecule: long non-coding RNA, 1231 nt
Organism: Passer domesticus (house sparrow)
Lineage: Eukaryota; Metazoa; Chordata; Aves; Passeriformes; Passeridae
Exons: 4
Source: RefSeq, a predicted model, not a curated record